GUACACAAAAGCGCAUGUGCUGUGAGCUCGAUGAGUAGGGCGGGACACGUGGUAUCCUGUCUGAAUAUGGGGGGACCAUCCUCCAAGGCUAAAUACUCCUGACUGACCGAUAGUGAACCAGUACCGUGAGGGAAAGGCGAAAAGAACCCCGGCGAGGGGAGUGAAAAAGAACCUGAAACCGUGUACGUACAAGCAGUGGGAGCCCCACCACUAAGCCAGUGGUGAACUCCACAUACGCAUCCUUUGCUGAAGGUGCGGUUAACGGAGCGCAAGCGACGCCCAACACACAAAACAAGCGGUGAGUGCUUUGGGGUGGGGUGACUGCGUACCUUUUGUAUAAUGGGUCAGCGACUUAUAUUCUGUAGCAAGGUUAACCGUAUAGGGGAGCCGGAGGGAA
RNAcentral lists this ribosomal RNA (397 nucleotides) under Salmonella enterica subsp. enterica serovar Kentucky. RNAcentral describes it as "bacterial LSU rRNA". It matches the Rfam family "Bacterial large subunit ribosomal RNA", at positions 375 to 675 of the family's 2925-position model. The record is from RNAcentral. Lineage: Bacteria; Pseudomonadati; Pseudomonadota; Gammaproteobacteria; Enterobacterales; Enterobacteriaceae.